UCUCCGUGCCGAUCUCUCGGACAGAGGCCGUCCUCGUGGUUGAGGCAUUACCAGUCUCGUUGCGCCUGAAACUGCUCGAAUUGUACAUUCAACGCGACCCUCGCUCGCGAACAUUUCCGAUCGCGUCAAUCGCGCCGAUACCGUGUCGUCACUAUAUCCCAGAGUUCGUUAAAUUCUUCCCCGCCGUUGCUUCGUCUUCGCGCACGUACUAUCGUUAAAGGCUACCGUGCAUCGGGCUUGAUCGUGCGUGCGAGCCCGAGGAAAAAAAACGCGGAGCUGGUAUUUUCACGAUCCACUCGAGCGUCGACGCCACGGGUCGCCGAGGAACAGCAGUUGCCGGCGUGGCUCGUCGUAUCACUCGUUUCAUCGGAUUAGAUGGUUCUUUUUGGUUUUUUUCCCAACAAACUAGCAGAAGUUUCAAGAGGUACUCACCAGGAUCGUGAUCACGAGCAGAGUGACGUUCGCGGUGCCUGGUUCAAAGAAAGCCGCGGUGUCCGUCACGUUUACGCCGACGCCUGGACGCCAUUCACCCACCUACGCAAUCCUCUGUGUUAAGGGAAGUGGGCAUUUUUCAUUUACCGCGGCUGUCAACGUCAAAGUUAAAACUUUGAGCUAAAGAGCGUCUAGUACUAUGGUACGUGUGCAUUUUACAAUCUUCGAAGGCUGAAGAGAAAAUAUUGUACGACCCUCUCGAUGUCUGAACGUUCCUCAGUCUUACCUUCGACGUAGACGACGCUGUCAAUCCGGCUGUAGAACGAAUUUCGAAUGACCAAAGUACCGUGUCAUCGGCAACCCGAAAAUUCUGAUUACUUUGAAACUAUCUAGAUUUGUAGGGGGUUUCAAGAGAAGUGUUAAGCAAAAAUCUUUGUUUGGCUCGUAAUUCGGUUCUUCAAGGUGAAAAUACCUCUUAAAGGUAGCUAGGUCCCCAUUUAUCUGCAUACCUUUCGAACUACGUUACAUGUUAACAUGAGCCAUAACAGAGAAAUGGGAUAAAUAAUAAUUAAGAAUGGGAAAAAUAAACGAGCUUCCCUACUUUGGUUAUGAGCAUACCUUGACAAGCGAGUGUUGUUUCAGCUUCAAUAGGUCCAGCUUGAAUUGAAUCCUGCGUCCUUCUUUGAAUUCGAUUGGUCCGGAAAUGCCCUUUAUUUCCACCUGAAAAGAGACACGAUCAAAAGCCGAAACAUUUCGAAGAAGGUCCGGGUCAUGAAAUAUCGGUCAAUAGACCGAGUUCUCAUGAAGCGACGAUAACUCUGGAAUAGCUAUUGAUCCCGGUGUAUAAGCAUAAUAUGGUGAACAGGAAUGGGAGGCUCCCAAAGGCGCGUUAAAAGUUUUCCCACUUAAAAAGUCGUUAUCGUUGGGUCUCUGUCGGCCCCGGUAGUCGUUAUGGCCGGUUGUCGGCUUUGGGAGCUCGGAAGUCCGAGCGGAAGUCGGCCAGGCUUGAUCCGCGCUUUCUUCGUCUCGCGAAAAUAUUUUGAAGACGUGCGAGAUGACGAAGCUCGCAUCGGGCCGGAGCUAUAACUUGCCGGCCCGAGUUUCGUGGGACGCAUAAAUUUCAGAAACAAGUCGGUUUGCUUCGGGCCAAGGGACUUUUUAAUCUCUCCGGCGCUUGCGUGCCAAGUUUUCCACCAACGAUGGCUACUGACCGGGAUGCAAAUGUCCAAUUAUGAUUCAACGAUCGUGAAAAGAUUUUUUCGAACUUGUCUGUCGGAUUGGAACUCGUUGCCACAUUCUGUUCGAUCGCUUGUAGAAUUCCUGUGGAACUUGGUCCAAUCGGGACGCCUAUUUCCGCAGGGAGGAAUGAGCAUAUUGUGAACAAGGUAUUAGUUUCUGUUCCGUAGUAUUUUUGCAUUUCAAAAAUAAUGAUAGUUAUAUCAAGCUCAAUAUGUAGUCAUGAAACUAAUUCUACGCCAAAUCCAAUAGAAAAAGUUAAUCUCACUGAUGCUUCUAUUUUGACUUUUCAAACAGAAGACCCAAAGCAGGUCUCUGAAUUGAACACAAUGAGCAAUUGUUUGCACAUGAAGGUAAGAUAAAAAAAUAUCACAUAAUAAUAAUUCGUUAACAUCAUAUUAGAA
Molecule: long non-coding RNA, 2072 nt
Organism: Megalopta genalis
Lineage: Eukaryota; Metazoa; Arthropoda; Insecta; Hymenoptera; Halictidae
Source: RefSeq, a predicted model, not a curated record